Molecule: long non-coding RNA, 1616 nt
Organism: Cydia splendana
Lineage: Eukaryota; Metazoa; Arthropoda; Insecta; Lepidoptera; Tortricidae
Exons: 2
Source: RefSeq, a predicted model, not a curated record
UUUUGUAAUAUGCUGCUUCUUAAUAUUAGUUACAUUUAUAUUGUUAUAUCGCACGUCUAUCAGUCUUGCGAUGAGAUAGGUAAGAGAGCUGUCAAAGUGACAGCCAUAGAUAAGCUAUUUUUAAGAGUACGUUCAUAAACGUCACUCCGCUACAUCAUCCCCUUUUUAAAAGAAAGUUAAAGUUAUACAGCACUACAAUAUAAGUUUGACACAAAAGGGGUACCGUUACAGAAAAUUGCAAGCUGUUACAUAAAAUUACUAUGUGCUACAGUAUAGUAUGUUUUGCUAUAAGGUACUGAUAUAUUUAUAUUAGUGUUACACAGAAUUACAGUUUAAAUAAAUAUUUAUUACAAAGUAACAGAUCUACAUUUCAAUAUUUGAACCUAUCUAAUAUCUUACACUAAUAAACUCUUCAUCCCCUUUUUAAAGGAAUGUCUUCCUAAAUAAUACUGAAUUAUCACAAGGAAUCAUAAAAUGCCCAGUAAUAUUGGGAAUUUUAAUGUACAUACUUCACAUUCGACCGAUGGUGGUAGACCCAACUGUAGAGUCCGGUGAGGCACCUAGCCCAGCUAAGGAGCCCUGAUAUGAAGCGAGGUUCUGUCAUAAAUAACAUUAUUCUUAUCAGCUAUAGUAUAUGCUCUAUUACCAUUAUAACUAACAAUUUUUCCUUCAAGCCAAACAUUCUUAUUAGGAUCUUUCUUAAACCAUAUGGAUUGGCCAACUACAAAUGGGCUUUUAAACCUGCUUGUUUUAUUAUAAUUUCUAGUAUUUCUAAUCAUAGCCCUGUCAAGCUCUUGUUGUAUAUUAGCAUUCAUCUUUGGCUGUAAGUAAUGGGUAUUUACUAUUAAUUUUGUCUUCAAAUUUCUAUUUAACAUUAGCUCAGAUGGGGACAAGUUUGUACCAGAUACUGGUGAGGCCCGGUAAUUAAGUAGUGCUAAUCUAUAAUCCGUGUUAUCUUCCUGACACUUAGUUAAAAUCUUUUUUGCUAUUUGUACUCCUCUUUCCGCCAUUCCAUUGGACUGGGGAUACCUGGGGCUAGUAUACGUGAAAGCAAACCCAUUGUCACGAGCAAAGUCUCUACAUUCUUUGGAGUCAAAAGGUACAUGAUCUGAAACAAUUUCUUUAGGAAAACCAAAAUUGGAAAAUAUAUCUGUUAAGGCCUCAAUAACGUUCUUCGCACUUUUACUACGAAUGUAUUUACUGUCUAGCCAUUUAGAGUAAUAAUCGUAAACUACGAGGUAACUUUUGGUUUUGAAAUCCAUAAUGUCUGUGGCUAUCUUUGCAAAAGGCAAUGUAGGUACUUCAUGUGGGAGUAAAGGCUCCUUUAUAUUAUUAUUCUGAUGUGUCUGACAAGGGAAACAUCGUUUAACAAACUGUUCAAUAUGUGAAUCUAUAUGUGGCCAGUAAUACAAUUUUCUAGCAAGUUGUUUCAUUUUUGUCAUACCAAUGUGGCCUUCAUGUAAUGUUUUAAUAAAUGAUAAUCUUAGAUUUUUUGGAACAAUUAAUCUAUCAUUAAAGAAUACUAAAUUUUUAUCUACUGAAAGUUCACCUCUUAAUUUAUGAUAGUCAUGCAAACCACUAGGAAUAUUUUUAUUAUUAGUAGGCCAACCAUUUUU